UAGUCCACGCCGUAAACGAUGUCAACUAGCCGUUGGUUCCAUUUAAGGGAUCAGUGGUGCAGCUAACGCAUUAAGUUGACCGCCUGGGGAGUACGCGCGCAAGCGUAAAACUCAAAGGAAUUGACGGGGGCCCGCACAAGCGGUGGAGCAUGUGGUUUAAUUCGAUGCAACGCGAAGAACCUUACCAGCCCUUGACAUUUACGGAACUUAGCAGAGAUGCUUUGGUGCCUUCGGGAGCCGUAGGACAGGUGCUGCACGGCUGUCGUCAGCUCGUGUCGUGAGAUGUUGGGUUAAGUCCCGCAACGAGCGCAACCCUUGUCUUUAGUUGCCAUCAUUAAGUUGGGCACUUUAAAGAGACUGCCGGUGACAAACCGGAGGAAGGUAAGGAUGACGUCAAGUCAGCAUGCCCCUUAUGCUCUGGGCUACACACGUGCUACAAUGGCCGUGACAAAGAGUUGCUACUUUGUGAAAACAAGCUAAUCUCAUAAACGCGGCCUCAGUUCGGAUUGC
This 510-nucleotide ribosomal RNA is filed under the name uncultured bacterium. RNAcentral's name for it is "bacterial SSU rRNA". It matches the Rfam family "Bacterial small subunit ribosomal RNA", at positions 791 to 1301 of the family's 1533-position model. The record is from RNAcentral.